RNAcentral lists this long non-coding RNA (2129 nucleotides) under Strongylocentrotus purpuratus (purple sea urchin). RNAcentral's name for it is "uncharacterized LOC115923025". Lineage: Eukaryota; Metazoa; Echinodermata; Echinoidea; Camarodonta; Strongylocentrotidae. The record is from RNAcentral.
UGUAUUAAUUUUUCAAUCUAGAAAAUUUGUUGUGUCCAUCUUGAAAUCCCGGCGCGAAGCAACCUUCAAGCCACGGGCAAUUUGGAUGAGCUUUACACCUUCACCGUAGCAUUACAGACGAGUUUUAGAAUCUAGUUAUUUGCCAUACAACUAUUUCAAAAGAGAAAGGAAACACUCGGUGCUAGUAGCUUGACCCUCCCCUGCCCAUCAAGUUUACCAUCUUUUCCCUAUAGAAUCAUUGAGGGCUUGCUGAAUAUUGUUACAUCAACUAAAGAUUUUUUAAGAGCUACAAAGUAGCCGUAAGUAUUCCAAUCACCAAACUAUGUUUUGCUCCUGAUGUAAGGGGUUCCAUGUGCAUGUGGCAAUACUGUAUUCAGAAUAUGAACUUAAAAAAAUACAGUGAAAUCUGUAAGACCGCUCAAGGGAUAACAUGAAAAAUGGUCUUUCUAUAUACCUUUUUCAGGUUAUUUUUAUUUACAUGUUCCUUAAGUACAGGCAUCAACAGAAAACUAUAUUCAAGGGGGGAAAAAUGUGGUCUUUCCAUAUAGGUGGUCGCUACAGCAGGUUUGACUGUAUAACUUCUACAAAGGAAUGUUGCAAUUUAAAUACAUUUUCAGUGUACAGUAAAAGGUCUUGUUGAGUUUUAUGUUAUCCUCUAUUUUCAUUAUACCGGUACUCCUUAACCAUUGACCUACCGGUAUACCAGUUAAGGUUUUUAGAUUUACUUUUAUACAUUCUAGCUAUACACAAAUUGUUUUCAGGUGAUUAGUACAAUUUACAUGUCAGUGCCUGUAAAACCAAGCAAUGAAUGCUAAGCUGUCUUUUUCUUAAUUGAUACCAACUGUUGUUGUUUUAGUUCACGCAGCCACCAUGUAGGCCUUUCAUUCACCUCACCCCUUUUUCUCAUUUUAAAUCAGGACAUGGCUUCCAUGCUUUCACCAAAUUUACCAGACAUGUUUACUAAUAAAUGCCAGACAAGCCUCAUAAUAAAUAAUUUACCAUAUCUCUACAAUGAUACAACCGACUGUUAUGAUUAAAUUGGGUUAGUUUAAUUUGGAGUCCUCUUGAAUUAGAAACGGGUACAUCGCACUGAUGCUUCCAUCUGAGUGCAAUAAAAAGUGCAUCCCCCUGUCUGGAUGAGAGCAUUCUACCAUGGAUCUACUUUAAAGAGGUCCAUGAUUCUACCUGCAGUCAAAGCUUAGUCUGCGGGUAUAGACUUUAAUUUCACUCUUAUACAUGACUCCAUGGCCCGUAUACUUCUAAUUCAUUUAAACCUGACACUGGGUCAAAGAUUAUGUUUAACAAAGGAAAACUUAGACCCCACUCAGAAUAACUUCUUUUGUUAAACCCAGUUUCGAACCAAAAUAUUUAACCCAGUGUCAGGUUUAAAGUUUAAUAGACUACGGGGACCAUGAGUCUCGAGUCGAGCCUUAAAAUAUCAGUCUGUGUCAAUUCCAGUUGAGGGUCUAUGGAGUGCAGUACACCAUGUAGUCUACGAAGUCUUACAGAUCAGACAUUGCGGCCCGAAUUUACAGAGGAGGUAUGUCGACAAACCUCUUUGAGAAUCCGGGCCAAUAGGUCUGUCUUUUUCAGACCGAAGUUGCAAAGAAACCUGCUUUUUCAGACUUGGGAUAUUUUCCCGAAACUCGAAAUUGCGUCAUGACCAGACCGAUACGCUCGUCACAAAGUAGCUUGGACAGGCCCAAAUUAGUCCGCUAUUUCCCAAAUUUGGAAACAAGACCAAGAUUUCUUGGGAUAUUUCUCGACCAAAACGCCAGCUAAUUGCAACUGCAGGCUGAUGAAGACGCAAAUCAGCUUGCUAAUGAGAGUUAGGGCUAGUUAAAAUAGUGGGUUAUUUAGCAACUUUGGUCUGAUGAGGACAGGCCUUCUACCGCUAUGACUGACAAGGGUUUGUGCCUGCAAACUAGUAGCAUCCUACCUCCAGGCAUAGCUGAUGUUACCCAGGUGGAAUCGCUAAGGUCAGUGUCUAUUUCGAGCUCAGGAGAAGACCCGGCCGGCCAAGCUUGUCUAAACUUCCAGACUCCAUCUCACAUUAUUCUCUUGCAUUGUAGGUUUACACCCAAUACCAGAGUAGAUUGACAUUGCUUUGCCUUUAUGAUACUUACAAA